Molecule: ribosomal RNA, 1372 nt
Filed under: uncultured bacterium
Lineage: Bacteria
Description: bacterial SSU rRNA
Rfam family: Bacterial small subunit ribosomal RNA
Source: RNAcentral
GAUGAACGCUGGCGGCGUGCCUAAUACAUGCAAGUCGAGCGAACGGACGAGAAGCUUGCUUCUCUGAUGCUAGCGGCGGACGGGUGAGUAACACGUGGAUAACCUACCUAUAAGACUGGGAUAACUUCGGGAAACCGUAGCUAAUACCGGAUAAUAUUUUGAACCGCAUGGUUCAAAAGUGAAAGACGGUCUUGCUGUCACUUAUAGAUGGAUCCGCGCUGCAUUAGCUAGUUGGUAAGGUAACGGCUUACCAAGGCAACGAUGCAUAGCCGACCUGAGAGGGUGAUCGGCCACACUGGAACUGAGACACGGUCCAGACUCCUACGGGAGGCAGCAGUAGGGAAUCUUCCGCAAUGGGCGAAAGCCUGACGGAGCAACGCCGCGUGAGUGAUGAAGGUCUUCGGAUCGUAAAACUCUGUUAUUAGGGAAGAACAUAUGUGUAAGUAACUGUGCACAUCUUGACGGUACCUAAUCAGAAAGCCACGGCUAACUACGUGCCAGCAGCCGCGGUAAUACGUAGGUGGCAAGCGUUAUCCGGAAUUAUUGGGCGUAAAGCGCGCGUAGGCGGUUUUUUAAGUCUGAUGUGAAAGCCCACGGCUCAACCGUGGAGGGUCAUUGGAAACUGGAAAACUUGAGUGCAGAAGAGGAAAGUGGAAUUCCAUGUGUAGCGGUGAAAUGCGCAGAGAUAUGGAGGAACACCAGUGGCGAAGGCGACUUUCUGGUCUGUAACUGACGCUGAUGUGCGAAAGCGUGGGGAUCAAACAGGAUUAGAUACCCUGGUAGUCCACGCCGUAAACGAUGAGUGCUAAGUGUUAGGGGGUUUCCGCCCCUUAGUGCUGCAGCUAACGCAUUAAGCACUCCGCCUGGGGAGUACGACCGCAAGGUUGAAACUCAAAGGAAUUGACGGGGACCCGCACAAGCGGUGGAGCAUGUGGUUUAAUUCGAAGCAACGCGAAGAACCUUACCAAAUCUUGACAUCCUUUGACAACUCUAGAGAUAGAGCCUUCCCCUUCGGGGGACAAAGUGACAGGUGGUGCAUGGUUGUCGUCAGCUCGUGUCGUGAGAUGUUGGGUUAAGUCCCGCAACGAGCGCAACCCUUAAGCUUAGUUGCCAUCAUUAAGUUGGGCACUCUAAGUUGACUGCCGGUGACAAACCGGAGGAAGGUGGGGAUGACGUCAAAUCAUCAUGCCCCUUAUGAUUUGGGCUACACACGUGCUACAAUGGACAAUACAAAGGGCAGCGAAACCGCGAGGUCAAGCAAAUCCCAUAAAGUUGUUCUCAGUUCGGAUUGUAGUCUGCAACUCGACUACAUGAAGCUGGAAUCGCUAGUAAUCGUAGAUCAGCAUGCUACGGUGAAUACGUUCCCGGGUCU